This is a long non-coding RNA of Oncorhynchus tshawytscha (Chinook salmon), 1185 nucleotides long. NCBI's taxonomy places the organism in Eukaryota, Metazoa, Chordata, Actinopteri, Salmoniformes, Salmonidae. The record is from Ensembl.
CCAAUAAUGACUUUUUAUUUUGCGAUUCAUUUAAACAAGGCACAUCAGAGGUAGAACAUUCCUUCAGAAGCAUUUGUGCUGAAGGUAGUUCCUUAGACAGAUAGCUACAGCCUGAGACCAGAGCACCCUAGCAGACAGACAGACUACAUAGACCAUAGACAGACAGGACAGACAGACACUACACAGACAGAUACUACAUAGACAGACAGACAGACACUACAUAGACAGACAGACACUACACAGACAGACACUACACAGACAGACACUACAUAAACUACACAGACAGACAGACACUACAUAAACUACAUAAACAGACAGACACUACACAGACAGACAGACACUACACAGACAGACAGACAAUCCAGGGGUUGGGCAGCAGGCACAGGCAGAGCCUCUGUGCAAUAUCCACACUGGGGGUCCUGGUCUUUAAUCUAGCAGUACUGGGACUAGUGGUUCUGAUUGAGUCUGGUUCCUCUCUGGACACAAAAGUCAGGACAAGGAGGGUUCUGGAGGAUGAACACUAGGCAGGGUCCACCAAUGCCUGGAUCUGUCCCCCUCACCACCUAAUAGAGACAGAAUAGGGUAACAGGGUAGAUUUGUAGAGAUGUUGCCAUAAACAACUGCAUCACUUUUCAUUUGUGGCUUGACACAUACAGACACAUCCAGUAAUACAAAAUUAGAUUGGAAUACAGCAUAUCACUAUUACAUUGUGUGUCACAAAUGCAAAGUGAGCAUCUGCUAAAUAACCAAAACUCCUGCAGGAAAGAGGCAAUGAGGCUCUAGGGUUGCAGAUGCAGGCUAUAUUAUGGAAUGGGGGGCCUUGGUCUCACCUUUCACUGGAUUUGGUCCUGGAAGGUAGCCUGGUGGAACCAGCCUGAUGUUGCGAUAGCUUGACAAGAUUAUCUGGCUGGCAACAAGGGCCUAGGAAUAGGAGCAAGUAUGAGGAAUGUGUUGGAGUCUUGGUGUUACCUCUUCCCGUCUCUGCAUUGGCCACAUAGAUGAACUCAUCCACCUCCUGACAUACUUCCUGGACCUGAGGGGCGGGACUGAAAUAUGGCUGUCCUGAUUGGUCCGCUCUUUCCAGGAUGAAGAGGUUGCUGCUGAGACUCUGCUGCUUCACACUGGCUCUCUUCCUCCCCGCCCUACACACACACACACACACACACACACACACACACACACACA